RNAcentral lists this long non-coding RNA (477 nucleotides) under Amborella trichopoda. RNAcentral's name for it is "long non-coding RNA (ATRI_LNC003017)". Lineage: Eukaryota; Viridiplantae; Streptophyta; Magnoliopsida; Amborellales; Amborellaceae. The record is from RNAcentral.
UCUGAGUCUUAUCCCAACUAUUUGGAGUUGGCUACAUGGAUUGUGUUCCGCCAUUCCACUCUAUAAAGGGUUAUGCCUUCAGUCAGACCAUAAGUCAUUGUAUUUUUUCUCACUUCUUCCAUCUAUGUCCUUUUGGGCCUUCCCUUUGCCCUUUUAGUACUUUCCACUCGAACUAAAUCAGCCCUCAUAACCGGUGAUGGUCUAAGCUGCACAUGGCCAGACCACCUAAGUCUACUUUUCAUCAUCGUAUCGCCUAUUGGAGCUACCCUAAGUUCCUUCAGGCUCUAUUGGAGCUACAUCUAACGACCUUUUUCCAAUAGUGAUAGUUCUGAUCUUGCUCCUCCUUUUGGAAUUACAUUAUCGGAGUCGAGCUAGGAAUGGCCGAAGUGAGUGGACACAACUUUUCACAGGUAGAGUGGUAGCUCAGAGGAGCAAAGAAGCUUGCCUAUCUGAACCAAGCAGCAAACAAUCUCAAUG